UUUCUUUUUUUAUUUAUUUAUCUAUUAGUUCUUUAAUUUAAUUCCCGAUUCCAAAAUUUUCGUUUCUCCUAUUUUAUUGGACAUUUAGGUCAGGAGUAAGCUCUAGAGGUGAAUGGACCAAUUUGCCCCUCGCCGGUCUGAUCCAGUUUGUUAGUUAUUCAAUAUUUCUUUCGAAUCCCUGACUUAAUUAUUUGACCUGUUUAACAAUUCUUUUCUGUGAUUUUCUCUUUUCCACUGUGU
RNAcentral lists this unclassified non-coding RNA (240 nucleotides) under Hevea brasiliensis (rubber tree). Lineage: Eukaryota; Viridiplantae; Streptophyta; Magnoliopsida; Malpighiales; Euphorbiaceae. The record is from RNAcentral.